RNAcentral lists this transfer RNA (72 nucleotides) under Sphaerodactylus townsendi. RNAcentral's name for it is "tRNA-Val". It matches the Rfam family "tRNA". Rfam says of the family: Transfer RNA (tRNA) molecules are approximately 80 nucleotides in length. Their secondary structure includes four short double-helical elements and three loops (D, anti-codon, and T loops). Lineage: Eukaryota; Metazoa; Chordata; Lepidosauria; Squamata; Sphaerodactylidae. The record is from RNAcentral.
UGAAGUGUGGCUCAGCACUAGAGACUCUGCUUCACAUGCAGAAGGUUCCCGGUUCGAAUCCCGGCAUCUCCA